AUUGAACGCUGGCGGCAGGCUUAACACAUGCAAGUCGAGCGGGGAAGGGUAGCUUGCUACCUAACCUAGCGGCGGACGGGUGAGUAAUGCUUAGGAAUCUGCCAUUUAGUGGGGGACAACAUUCCGAAAGGAAUGCUAAUACCGCAUACGUCCUACGGGAGAAAGCAGGGGAUCUUCGGACCUUGCGCUAAAUGAUGAGCCUAAGUCGGAUUAGCUAGUUGGUGGGGUAAAGGCCUACCAAGGCGACGAUCUGUAGCGGGUCUGAGAGGAUGAUCCGCCACACUGGGACUGAGACACGGCCCAGACUCCUACGGGAGGCAGCAGUGGGGAAUAUUGGACAAUGGGCGGAAGCCUGAUCCAGCCAUGCCGCGUGUGUGAAGAAGGCCUUAUGGUUGUAAAGCACUUUAAGCGAGGAGGAGGCUACUUAGAUUAAUACUCUAGGAUAGUGGACGUUACUCGCAGAAUAAGCACCGGCUAACUCUGUGCCAGCCGCCGCGGUAA
RNAcentral lists this ribosomal RNA (501 nucleotides) under uncultured bacterium. RNAcentral's name for it is "partial 16S ribosomal RNA". It matches the Rfam family "Bacterial small subunit ribosomal RNA", at positions 30 to 523 of the family's 1533-position model. The record is from RNAcentral.